This 77-nucleotide transfer RNA is filed under the name Lachnotalea sp. AF33-28. Its description in RNAcentral is "tRNA-His". It matches the Rfam family "tRNA". Rfam says of the family: Transfer RNA (tRNA) molecules are approximately 80 nucleotides in length. Their secondary structure includes four short double-helical elements and three loops (D, anti-codon, and T loops). The record is from RNAcentral. Lineage: Bacteria; Bacillati; Bacillota; Clostridia; Lachnospirales; Lachnospiraceae.
GUGGGUAUGGCACAGUUGGUUAGCGCGCCAGAUUGUGGCUCUGGAGGUCGUGGGUUCGAGUCCCACUACCCACCCUA